RNAcentral lists this long non-coding RNA (221 nucleotides) under Mytilus galloprovincialis (Mediterranean mussel). Lineage: Eukaryota; Metazoa; Mollusca; Bivalvia; Mytilida; Mytilidae. The record is from RNAcentral.
ACGGAGUGUCUAUUCGUCCGGCUAGCCGGACGAAUAGUUAAAAAUCUCUAUUCGUCCGGCCAUCCGUCUGCGGAUGCGCAAAUAUUCAAUAUCAAUAAAAGUGUCAUGUGACGUGGAAAGUGUCCCGGAUGAGGUGUCGGAUAACACACGCGGUGUCGGAUAACACACGCGCGUAUGCAAUGGACGUGUUGAGAAUUGGAGAUCGUGAUUCAUAUUUAAAG